UCAAUUAGUACAAAGGUCCAAAUCAUUCCU
This 30-nucleotide non-coding RNA is filed under the name Mus musculus (house mouse). Lineage: Eukaryota; Metazoa; Chordata; Mammalia; Rodentia; Muridae. The record is from RNAcentral.